This 164-nucleotide ribosomal RNA is filed under the name uncultured bacterium. RNAcentral describes it as "partial 16S rRNA". It matches the Rfam family "Bacterial small subunit ribosomal RNA", at positions 355 to 511 of the family's 1533-position model. The record is from RNAcentral.
UAGGGAAUCUUCCACAAUGGACGAAAGUCUGAUGGAGCAACGCCGCCUGAGUGAAGAAGGUUUUCGGAUCGUAAAGCUCUGUUGUUGGUGAAGAAGGAUAGAGGCAGUAACUGGUCUUUAUUUGACGGUAAUCAACCAGAAAGUCACGGCUAACUACGUGCCAG